Molecule: ribosomal RNA, 497 nt
Filed under: uncultured bacterium
Lineage: Bacteria
Description: partial 16S ribosomal RNA
Rfam family: Bacterial small subunit ribosomal RNA
Source: RNAcentral
GAUGAACGCUGGCGGCGUGCCUAAUACAUGCAAGUCGAGCGAACAGACGAGGAGCUUGCUCCUCUGACGUUAGCGGCGGACGGGUGAGUAACACGUGGAUAACCUACCUAUAAGACUGGGAUAACUUCGGGAAACCGGAGCUAAUACCGGAUAAUAUAUUGAACCGCAUGGUUCAAUAGUGAAAGACGGUUUUGCUGUCACUUAUAGAUGGAUCCGCGCCGCAUUAGCUAGUUGGUAAGGUAACGGCUUACCAAGGCAACGAUGCGUAGCCGACCUGAGGGGGUGAUCGGCCACACUGGAACUGAGCCACGGUCCAGACUCCUACGGGAGGCAGCAGUAGGGAAUCUUCCGCAAUGGGCGAAAGCUUGGCGGAGCAACGCCGCGUGAGUGAUGAAGGUCUUCGGAUCGUAAAACUCUGUUAUUAGGGAAGAACAAAUGUGUAAGUAACUAUGCACGUCUUGAGGGUACCUAAUCAGAAAGCCACGGCUAACUACGUG